RNAcentral lists this transfer RNA (75 nucleotides) under Fidelibacterota bacterium. Its description in RNAcentral is "Candidatus Marinimicrobia bacterium tRNA-Pro". It matches the Rfam family "tRNA". Rfam says of the family: Transfer RNA (tRNA) molecules are approximately 80 nucleotides in length. Their secondary structure includes four short double-helical elements and three loops (D, anti-codon, and T loops). Lineage: Bacteria; Pseudomonadati; Fidelibacterota. The record is from RNAcentral.
CGGAGCGUGGCGCAGCCCGGUAGCGCACCACAAUGGGGUUGUGGGGGUCGCAAGUUCAAAUCUUGUCGCUCCGAC